RNAcentral lists this ribosomal RNA (491 nucleotides) under uncultured bacterium. RNAcentral describes it as "partial 16S ribosomal RNA". It matches the Rfam family "Bacterial small subunit ribosomal RNA", at positions 29 to 506 of the family's 1533-position model. The record is from RNAcentral.
AGUGAACGCUGGCGGUAGGCCUAACACAUGCAAGUCGAACGGCAGCACAGUAAGAGCUUGCUCUUACGGGUGGCGAGUGGCGGACGGGUGAGGAAUACAUCGGAAUCUACUUUUUCGUGGGGGAUAACGUAGGGAAACUUACGCUAAUACCGCAUACGACCUACGGGUGAAAGCAGGGGAUCUUCGGACCUUGCGCGAUUGAAUGAGCCGAUGUCGGAUUAGCUAGUUGGCGGGGUAAAGGCCCACCAAGGCGACGAUCCGUAGCUGGUCUGAGAGGAUGAUCAGCCAAAAUGGAACUGAGACACGGGCCAGACUCCUACGGGAGGCAGCAGUGGGGAAUUUUGGACAAGGGGCGCAAGCCUGAUCCAGCCAUACCGCGGGGGUGAAGAAGGCCUUCGGGUUGUAAAGCCCUUUUGUUGGGAAAAAAAAGCAGCAGGUUAAUACCCCGCUGUUCUGACGGUACCCAAAGAAUAAGCACCGGCUAACUUCGU